CCCUUAGAUGUUCUGGGCCGCACGCGCGCUACACUGAUGCAUUCAACGAGUCUACAACCUGGUCUGAUAGGGCUGGGUAAUCUUUUGAAUGUGCAUCGUGAUUGGGAUAGAUGAUUGCAAUUCUUCAUCUUCAACGAGGAAUGCCUAGUAAACGCAAGUCAUCAACUUGCAUUGAUUACGUCCCUGCCCUUUGUACACACCGCCCGUCGCACCUACCGAUUGAAUGGUCCGGUGAAGCCUCCGGAUUGGCGCGCACCUCGGUGCCGCCGAGAAGUUGGCUAAACCUUACCAUUUAGAGGAAGGUGAAGUCGUAACA
RNAcentral lists this ribosomal RNA (316 nucleotides) under uncultured eukaryote. RNAcentral's name for it is "partial 18S ribosomal RNA". It matches the Rfam family "Eukaryotic small subunit ribosomal RNA", at positions 1470 to 1796 of the family's 1831-position model. The record is from RNAcentral.